This 756-nucleotide ribosomal RNA is filed under the name Clostridioides difficile. RNAcentral's name for it is "bacterial LSU rRNA". It matches the Rfam family "Bacterial large subunit ribosomal RNA", at positions 1530 to 2297 of the family's 2925-position model. The record is from RNAcentral. Lineage: Bacteria; Bacillati; Bacillota; Clostridia; Peptostreptococcales; Peptostreptococcaceae.
AAGUAGGCAAAUCCGCUUUGAUAAUGCUGGGAUGUGAUGGGGAGCGAAAUUUAGUAGCGAAGUAGCUGAUUUCACACUGUCAAGAAAAGUCUCUAUCGAGGUUAAAGGUACCCGUACCGCAAACCGACACCGGUGGGUGAGGAGAGUAUCCUAAGGCCAGCGAGAGAACUGUUGUUAAGGAACUCGGCAAAAUGACCCCGUAACUUAGGGAUAAGGGGUGCCACCAUCAGGUGGCCGCAGAGAAUAGGCCCAAGCGACUGUUUACCAAAAACAUAGGUUUCUGCUAAGUCGCAAGACGAUGUAUAGGAGCUGACGCCUGCCCGGUGCUGGAAGGUUAAGGGGAUCUGUUAGAGCAAUCGAAGCAGUGAACUUAAGCCCCAGUAAACGGCGGCCGUAACUAUAACGGUCCUAAGGUAGCGAAAUUCCUUGUCGGGUAAGUUCCGACCCGCACGAAAGGCGUAACGAUUUGGGCACUGUCUCAACAACAGACUCGGUGAAAUUGUAAUUCCGGUGAAGAUGCCGGAUACCUGCGACAGGACGGAAAGACCCCAUGGAGCUUUACUGUAGCUUGACAUUGGGUCUUGGUACUACAUGUACAGGAUAGGUGGGAGGCUUUGAAACCAGGACGCCAGUUUUGGCGGAGCCAUCCUUGGGAUACCACCCUUGUAGUACUGGGACUCUAACCAUAGGCCAUGAAUCUGGUCUUGGGACACUGUCAGGUGGGCAGUUUGACUGGGGCGGUCGCCUCCCAAAAGG